AGAGUUUGAUCCUGGCUCAGGACGAACGCUGGCGGCGUGCCUAAUACAUGCAAGUCGAACGAAGCUUUCUUUCACCGAAUGCUUGCAUUCACCGAAAGAAGCUUAGUGGCGAACGGGUGAGUAACACGUAGGCAACCUGCCCAAAAGAGGGGGAUAACACUUGGAAACAGGUGCUAAUACCGCAUAACCAUGAACACCGCAUGAUGUUCAUGUAAAAGACGGCUUUUGCUGUCACUUUUGGAUGGGCCUGCGGCGUAUUAACUUGUUGGUGGGGUAACGGCCUACCAAGGUGAUGAUACGUAGCCGAACUGAGAGGUUGAUCGGCCACAUUGGGACUGAGACACGGCCCAAACUCCUACGGGAGGCAGCAGUAGGGAAUCUUCCACAAUGGACGAAAGUCUGAUGGAGCAACGCCGCGUGAAUGAAGAAGGCCUUCGGGUCGUAAAAUUCUGUUGUCAGAGAAGAACGUGCGUGAGAGUAACUGUUCACGUAUUGACGGUAUCUGACCAGAAAGCCACGGCUAACUACGUGCCAGCAGCCGCGGUAAUACGUAGGUGGCAAGCGUUGUCCGGAUUUAUUGGGCGUAAAGGGAACGCAGGCGGUCUUUUAAGUCUGAUGUGAAAGCCUUCGGCUUAACCGAAGUAGUGCAUUGGAAACUGGAAGACUUGAGUGCAGAAGAGGAGAGUGGAACUCCAUGUGUAGCGGUGAAAUGCGUAGAUAUAUGGAAGAACACCAGUGGCGAAAGCGGCUCUCUGGUCUGUAACUGACGCUGAGGUUCGAAAGCGUGGGUAGCAAACAGGAUUAGAUACCCUGGUAGUCCACGCCGUAAACGAUGAGUGCUAAGUGUUGGAGGGUUUCCGCCCUUCA
This 867-nucleotide ribosomal RNA is filed under the name uncultured bacterium. RNAcentral's name for it is "bacterial SSU rRNA". It matches the Rfam family "Bacterial small subunit ribosomal RNA", at positions 8 to 842 of the family's 1533-position model. The record is from RNAcentral.